AUGGAUUCGCUUCUUGCCACCUACGCCUCUUCCGACGAAGACGCCGACGAGAGCAUCCCCUCACCCGCUCCCGCGACCCGCCGCGGCGAGGCGAGCGGAAAGCCCGCCGGCGGCAUCUUCUCCGCGCUCCCGCAACCCAAGUCGGCGCCUAUAUUCUCAUCGCUCCCGGCGCCGAAAUCCGCCGCGACCUUCUCCUCCAUCCCGCCUCCCAAAUCGUCCGUUUCCUCCGGAAACCCUAAGCGCGUCGUACAGUUCCGCCCGCCGCCGAUCCGCCAGACCACCGGGGUCAGCUCGGACGAGGAUGAUGACGCCGAGAAGCGCCGUCCCAGCGUCAGCGAGGCGCCCCCGCCCCUGUCUGCUGGAUCGGGGCCGGUGUCUUCGUUCCUCCCGGCGCCCAGGCACUCGCUUGGCUUCGGCUCCGGCGCGGCCAGGAGGUCGGCCGUAGACACCGCCGGGCCGGAGAGGUCAAAUCUUGGUGCUGCUGGCCCCUCUAGCUCGGCUGUCAACAGAGGGGCGCCAGAAAGGUCCGAUACUGGCCCUGCCGACGAGGACGAUCCUGAGAAAAGCAGCGAUGAGGAUGGCAUGCCUGCUCCGGAGCAACAGCAAGAACAACAGGGUCUUGGUGCUGAAGCUGGAGACGUCCAACACCAGGGUUGUGAUGCUGGAGUUGGAAACGCUAAUGGGUACGAAGGCUAUGCAUGGGAUCCAAACUAUUAUGCAUAUUAUGGUUUGGAUCCAAAUAGCAAUUUGAAUUAUGGGGCUGAACCACAGUAUGCAGCAUAUGGAGUGGAGCAAGGUGGUGGGUAUGAUAAUGGAUAUGGCGGGGAGCACAGUGGUGGAUACGAGCAUUCGACAGCGCCUCCAUGUGGAGGGGAAUAUACUGGAGGUUACAGUGCUGAGGCAGUGGCAAUGGCAGCGCCACCAAUGCGGGAGCCUGCACUGCCACCAGAAUUGGGCAGGAUUGGAGUGAAGAGAGGUAGGAGGGAUAUGCCUAUGGAGAUUAUAGAGGUGAAUCAGGCAGAACUGGUCAAGAACCGUCCGAGGGAGGACAAAUCCAAGCUCACAGGGAUGGCCUUUGGUCCUAGUUACCAGGCCGCCCCAUCAGGGAAGGGAAAGCCCUCCAAGCUGCAGAAGAGAAAGCAUCAGAUCGGUUCUCUCUUCUACGACCUGAAGCAGAAGGAGAUGGAGCUUUCCGAGAGGCGUGCCAAGGGCUUCCUCACGAAAGCGGAGACUCAAGCAAAAUAUGGGUGGUGA
RNAcentral lists this ribosomal RNA (1254 nucleotides) under Triticum aestivum (bread wheat). Its description in RNAcentral is "partial small subunit ribosomal RNA". Lineage: Eukaryota; Viridiplantae; Streptophyta; Magnoliopsida; Poales; Poaceae. The record is from RNAcentral.